RNAcentral lists this ribosomal RNA (636 nucleotides) under Rotylenchulus reniformis. RNAcentral describes it as "SSU rRNA". It matches the Rfam family "Eukaryotic small subunit ribosomal RNA", at positions 1003 to 1664 of the family's 1831-position model. The record is from RNAcentral. Lineage: Eukaryota; Metazoa; Nematoda; Chromadorea; Rhabditida; Hoplolaimidae.
GGCGAUCAGAUACCGCCCUAGUUCUGACCGUAAACGAUGCCAACUAGCGAUCCGCCAGUCGACUCAUCGCUCUGGUGGGGAGCUUCCCGGAAACGAAAGUCUUCCGGUUCCGGGGGAAGUAUGGUUGCAAAGCUGAAACUUAAAGGAAUUGACGGAAGGGCACCACCAGGAGUGGAGCCUGCGGCUUAAUUUGACUCAACACGGGGAAACUCACCCGGCACGGACACCGUAAGGAUUGACAGAUUGAUAGCUUUUUCAUGAUUCGGUGGAUGGUGGUGCAUGGCCGUUCUUAGUUCGUGGAGCGAUUUGUCUGGUUUAUUCCGAUAACGAGCGAGACUCUGGCCUACUAAAUAGUUGACGCAUUGCCACUGUGCGCACAACUUCUUAGAGGGAUUUUCGGUGUUUUCAACCGCACGAAAUUGAGCAAUAACAGGUCUGUGAUGCCCUUAGAUGUCCGGGGCUGCACGCGCGCUACACUGGCAAACGCAACGUGCCUGUCCUGCCCCGAAAGGAGCGGGUAAACCCCUGAAAUUUUGCCGUGAUUGGGAUCGGACAUUGCAACUAUUGUCCGUGAACGAGGAAUUCCUUGUAGGGGCGAGUCAUCAACUCGUCCCGAAUACGUCCCUGCCCUUUGUA